This 1654-nucleotide long non-coding RNA is filed under the name Zea mays. RNAcentral's name for it is "long non-coding RNA (ZMAY_LNC001828)". The record is from RNAcentral. Lineage: Eukaryota; Viridiplantae; Streptophyta; Magnoliopsida; Poales; Poaceae.
AUUAGUUUCACUGUUGCAGACCAUGAAGAGCAAAGCCCUGUAUCCGGAGAACGGAGAGUUAGCUUGGAAGCAAAUGCCAACGAGCCUGAGGAAAAGAACCUAGCUAACGUCAUAUCAAUUGAUCUCCACACCAAAAGUCUGCAGCAUGAUAAUGGCAGAAUAGCUGAAGAGACUGAUAAAGGUACAACUGAAUUAAUCCUGUAUCCCCAAUAAAAGCUCUGCAACAUUGAUGAGUGAAGAUAAUAUGUAUGCUGAACAUCUAAAUCCACCUGUGCCAGCUCUCAUUCACUGUUUUUUUCUAAAGAUCUUGCUUCAAGAUUUUCAAUUCACUAAAUUAAACUUGCUAAAUCUCCAGAUGUUUUGUCUUUUGUUUUCCCUAUUGAAGAGCAUGAAGAAAAAUAUGCAGUUAGCCCUAUAGCCGUUGAAAAGAGCUUCCGUCAGGAAGCAAGUGCAAUUGAAUCUGCAGGAAAACCCCUAACUGUCAUCUUUUCUAACGAUCUCCACACCAAACAUCUGCAACAUGAUUGUGAUGUGCUAAUUAAGGAGACUGGUGAAGGUAAUAUUGCAUUAAUACUUGUUCCACAACUUGUUACUGAUCUGCGGAGAUGGUGAUGAAAACUUGUGCUGUUUGCACUGUGUUGACAUUUUUUAAAUGUAUUCUUUCCCUUUCUCAGAAGUUUUAGCUCAGGAGAAUUGUAAUGACCAGCCUGUUCCUGCCCAGACCGACCUAGAAAUUAAGUUAAAUGAUGAACUUGCUGAUCCGGGUAUGGACCGUGUUUAAUUUACCAAUUUUAAACAUACCGAGUUCUAAGUCAAGUUGUUGGCUACUUGUAAUUCUAAUUGUUUUUAAUAGGCUUUAUAUUUAUUCUAUCUGCAAAAGCUAGGCAUAUGUUUCAUUGUCAUUUGAUGUCUUUUAAGUAUCUGACAUUUAUUUUUUAAAUGUAUUCUUUCCCUUUAUCAGAUGUUUUAGCUCAGGAGAAUUGUAAUGACCAGCCUGUUCCUGCCAACGAGCCUGAGGAAAAGAACCUAGCUAACGUCAUAUCAACUGAUCUCCACACCAAAACUCUGCAGCAUGAUAAUGACAGAAUAGCUGAAGAGACUGAUAAAGGUACAACCGAAUUAAUCCUGCCCAGACUGACCUAGAAAUUAAGUUAAACGAUGAACUUGCUGAUCCGGGUAUGGACUGUGUUUAAUUUACCAAUUUUAAACAUACUGCAGAGUUUUGGUUUAUCAAUUAGUUUCACUGUUGCAGACCAUGAAGAGCAAAGCAAUGUGUUCGGAGAACGGAGAGUUAGCUUGGAAGCAAAUGCCAACGAGCCUGAGGAAAAGAACCUAGCUAACGUCAUAUCAACUGAUCUCCACACCAAAACUCUGCAGCAUGAUAAUGACAGAAUAGCUGAAGAGACUGAUAAAGGUACAACCGAAUUAAUCCUGCCCAGACUGACCUAGAAAUUAAGUUAAACGAUGAACUUGCUGAUCCGGGUAUGGACUGUGUUUAAUUUACCAAUUUUAAACAUACUGAGUUCUAAGUCAAAUUGUUGGCUACGUGUAAUUCUAAUCAUUAGCUUUGUCCAUUAUUGUCAUGUUAUAUACUGAAAGGAAGACUUUGUCGUUCCAAAAUCACCAAAUGGUUUAUCAAUUAGUUUCACUGUUG